CCUACGGGUGGCAGCAGUGAGGAAUAUUGGUCAAUGGACGCAAGUCUGAACCAGCCAUGCCGCGUGCAGGAAGACGGCUCUAUGAGUUGUAAACUGCUUUUGUACGAGGGUAAACGCAGAUACGCGUAUCUGUCUGAAAGUAUCGUACGAAUAAGGAUCGGCUAACUCCGUGCCAGCAGCCGCGGGAAUACGGAGGAUUCAAGCGUUAUCCGGAUUUAUUGGGUUUAAAGGGUGCGUAGGCGGUUGGAUAAGUUAGAGGUGAAAUCCCGAGGCUCAACUUCGGAAUUGCCUCUGAUACUGUUAGGCUAGAGAGUAGUUGAGGUAGGCGGAAUGUAUGGUGUAGCGGUGAAAUGCGUAGAGAUCAUACAGAACACCGAUUGCGAAGGCAGCUUACCAAGCUACUUCUGACGUUGAGGCACGAAAGCGUGGGGAGCAAACAGGAUUAGAUACCCCUGUAGUC
Molecule: ribosomal RNA, 460 nt
Filed under: uncultured bacterium
Lineage: Bacteria
Description: partial 16S ribosomal RNA
Rfam family: Bacterial small subunit ribosomal RNA
Source: RNAcentral